UAAGUAUUUUGGCACAUUACGGAAAGAGUUUCCUUCCUUCACAGUAAAGUUCUAAAACAGAUCUUCCUUUACCUCCAGUGAAAUUGAUUAAUGACAUCAACUUAAUUGAUUGAUUGCGGUUUCUCAACCUGUUCAAGAUCCUAGAAACCAAACUCAGGCAUGAGUCACUAUUUUUCUAUUUGGUUCUAUCUGUGUUUAGAGCUAGCAUCACUUCUGGUGCCAAAGCAAGCGCCCAGUGUGCUGCAAAAGCAGAGAGGCUGGGUAUUUGCUCUAUACUAAUUUCCUAUUUGUGAUAUGAAUGAAGUUAAGAUCAACUUGAUGAAGCAUAACUUAUCCUGUUCUAUUUUUGCCCUGGUAAUGAAUAUCACUUUCCCUGAGUGUCAUGUGAAAUUUGUUCUGUUUUGGAAAGACUGUUGAUUUCUUGAAAAGUUAAGUUGGCAGAAGCUCUUGAGCUAUGUACAAAGCAUCUGUCCACUUAUCCAAAUGUUUCUCCAAUAAAGUUUCAUUUUUACUUGGGACAGUUUUCUACUACUAUGGGGGUAUUUCUUCCUUGGAAUAUCUUUUUAAACCCUUUGAAAGCCCCUCUUCAUUCAAGGUUCAACUAAAAAAUAUUUCAGUAUGAAUUUUUUUUCUUAGCCCUCAGCUAGAGUAAUAUUUUCUUUCUUAGGUGCCAAGAUCUAUCCCUAGCACCUCAUUUUUUUUUUCAUUUUUAAGGGUUUUUUUGGAAGUAUAGUUGAUUUACAAUGUUGUGAUGAUUUCUGCUAUACAGCAAAGUGAUUCAAUUAUACAUAUACCCACAUCCAUUCUUUUUCGGAUUCUUUCCACAUACAGACUAUCACAGAAUAUUGGGUAGAGUUCCCAGUGUUAAUAGAAGGUCCCCUUUGGCCAGUCAUUCCAUAUACUGCGAUUUGCAUAUGCUAGUCCCCAAACCCUAAUCCAUCCCUCCCCUCUGACUUUCCCCCUUUGGCAACUAUAACUUUGCUUUUAGUCUGUUUCUGUUCUGCCAAUGAGUUCAUGUGUAUCCUUUUUUUUUUUUUUCAGAUUCCACAUUUCCACAUAUAUGUGAUGUUUGUCUUUCACUGUCUGGAUAACUUUACUUAGUAUGAUAAUCUCUAGGUCCAUCCACGUUGUUGCAAAUGUCAUUAUUUCAUUCCUUGUUAUGGCUGAGUAGUAUUCCAUUGUAUAUAUGUACAAGAGCUUCUUUACCCAUACCUCUGUCAAUGGACAUUUAGGUUGCUUCCAUGUCUUGGCUAUAGUGAAUAGCGCUGUGAUGAACACUGCAGUGAAUGUAUCCUUUCAAAUUAUGUUGUUUUUUUUUUUUUUUCUGGAUAGAUGCUUUGGAAUGGGUUUACUGGAUCACACAUUAUAUUUUUAAUUUUUUCCAUAGUGGUUGGACCAAUUUACAUUCCUACCAACAGUGUGAGAGGGUUGCCUUUUCUCCACACUCUCUCCAGCAUCUAUUAUUUGUAGACUUUUUGAUGAUGGCCAUUCUGGCUGGUGUAAAAUGGUACCUCAUGGUAGUUUUGAAUUGCAUUUCUCUAAUAAUUAGCUAUGUUGAAUAUCUUUUCAUAUUUUUUUUUGGCCAUCUAUAUGUCUUCUUUGGAGAAAUGUCUAUUUAGAUCUUCUGCCCAUUUUUUGGUUGGGUUUUUUUUUUUUAUAUUGAGCUUCAUGAAUGUGUAAAUUUUGGAGAUUAAUUCCUUCUAAGUUGCUUCAUUUGAAAACAUUUUCUCCCACUCUGUGGAUUGUCUUUUCAUUCUUUUUAUGAUUUCCUUUGCUGUGCAAAAACCUUUAAGUUUAAUCGGGUUGCUGGUGUCAUGGUUAUGCACAUUUUUAUAAUGUAGUUUCCAUUCCCAAUUCUUACUCCAUUCUGAAGCUUUAAGUAGACAUUUCUUUUUUUCUCUUUUUUUCUUAACCUUUGGAAACAUUAACACUCUUCCUCUGGUAGAAUAUAUCAUCAUGUAUGUUAUAGCAAGAGGCCCUGCUUCUGACUAUUGAGAAAAAAAAAGUCUGGAAAACAGUCCUCACUUGCUCCCAACACUGAGGCAUGAUAUAGAUUAGCUGGUUGCGUGAUCCUACCUAGAACUUUAAGUAUUAAUGCUCAUUCCUAGGGGCUGUUGAGAUUUGACUCCAGCCCUGGUGGUGGCAGGAGCCACCAUUUGGUGAAUCAAUCCUCUGGUUCAGUGAUGGUCCCCACUGUCCAAUGGGGACGUCGGAAGUGUUCCGUCUUGCUUCUGGUUCUGGUUCCUGGACUGCGAUCUUGCCUCUGGUUCCGGUUCCUGCCUGUUUCCUGAGAUUGGUUCUUCCUUUUCAUGUUGAGAUUGCAAACUACCUAGUAUUCUUCUAAUAAGCCAUCACUUCUGUUAUUGUUAACCAAGAACCGUGACUGUAGAGGAAGAAUCUUUGUCUUAUUCAGAUUUGAUUACCAUGUGCCUAAUAAAUGUUUAUCAAAAUGUUGAGAUCAUGCUGGAUGUGACGUCCAUGUGAGCCAGUGUGGAAGUAGCAGCCAAAUUAUUAACUAAACCAUCAUGUUAAAUUUUAGAGUGUGAGGUGCUGUACCAAGUUUGGAGUCUUCUUCCUCCCUGUACCCUCUUUUUCACCUCCGAAUAUGGGAUCUCAGUAUAGAUAAAUGAAUACAGGAUCUUGGUCUAGAUAUGCAGCUGCUGAUGGGUUAGAUUACUGCCUAUUUAAUCUUUGUGGGGUUGCUAUGUUCAUUUGUGCAUAAAAAAAUCUCAAGCCUGAGAAAUUUUCCUGACAUUUGGAGUCAUUAAACUGUUUAAAACACAGGAGGAGUUAACUGAGUGGGUUGUUUACUCCUGGCUAUGUGGCUGGUAUGGCAAGUACUAGGGACCCAGGCAUGGAGGAGAGGGAGAGACACUGGGUGGUUUAUCCUUGUUAGAGUUUUGUUGGGUCCUGAUCUUCCCAAGGAAUUUUGCAGAGAUGAGAGCUUUCCAAACUCUGAAAAGAGAAGUGCAGGGGCAGGAAAACCCUGUAUUUCCUAUAACCAGACCCUCAGUGCAUAAAUAAUGCCUUGAAUCUGGAAAGUGGCCUGAGAUUUCCCAGUAGUUCCAUUGCUCUACUUCCCUGGCCUGGGCUCCUCUGGUGCUGGCAGAGCUGUGUGUAUAUGUGGAGGUGUAGCUGAGAAUGUCAACCCCUCUGGGGAAACUCACCUGCUGACAGCGCAUGAUGAGUCUCCUAAUGGGUCUGUUUGGGCUGCAGCACUACCCAGAGUGCCGCUUCUGCUUGGCAGUGGCAGCUGCCACACCACCAAGCCAGCCUUCCUUCUCCAUGGCCCUGGGAUGUCCCCUCCAGGUUUGUGCCACUUCCUGAACUCCAGAAAGCUGUCUCCACCAUGGGGAGUGAAAUGUGUCUUUAUCAACCACCAGGCUUGAGAUGAGAGUCCUCUCCUGGUGGGAAGUCACCGGUCACUUCUCAGGACAGAUGUAGUAAACAGCGAGGUAGUGGCCCCUGGAUUUACAGUCCUCUCGAAACAGCAUUGGGCUGUAAGAUGUGGUGGUAGUGGCUCAGAGAGACCUGAGAUAGAUUGAGGAUUCCUUCCAAAUUCCUGGUUUCAAGUAGCCCAGAGGAUACCAGAUGACUUCUAUAUGACACUUGACCUCAAACACUACUCUUGAGUUUCUGUCCAGGAGCCUGCCAUACUUGUCUAUGCCAAACCACUUAAAUGGACAACCCAACUGGAGCCUUUUGUGUUCAUACCCCACAGGGUGCAAUGAUGCCUACGCACACAGCUUGCAUUCCAAAGCUGGAACAAAGAGGCAUUUGUUCUCUUUCCUUAGUGGCUAUGAAACAUUUUCAAGAACAUUUUGAGACAGAAUUAUGUUGAUUUGACUCAGGACAAAAUCAAUGGGCUGUUUUUCUGAGAAAGAUGAGAGGCCAUCACAUUGUUACACACCCCCUCCAUCUCCUUGGGAAGCAGACAGCCUGUGAGCACAUCAUCCCUUGUGCUUAUUAACUGUACAUCUAGGGAUGUUCCUAUUAAAUAAAUUGUUUUGAGGUCAACAUGAAACACCAACU
RNAcentral lists this long non-coding RNA (4032 nucleotides) under Sus scrofa (pig). Its description in RNAcentral is "lncRNA (ENSSSCG00000055810.1)". The record is from RNAcentral. Lineage: Eukaryota; Metazoa; Chordata; Mammalia; Artiodactyla; Suidae.